RNAcentral lists this ribosomal RNA (451 nucleotides) under uncultured bacterium. Its description in RNAcentral is "partial 16S ribosomal RNA". It matches the Rfam family "Bacterial small subunit ribosomal RNA", at positions 29 to 523 of the family's 1533-position model. The record is from RNAcentral.
AACGAACGCUGGCGGCAGGCUUAACACAUGCAAGUCGAACGGUUGUAGCAAUACAGCAGUGGCAGACGGGUGAGUAACAUGUGGGAACCUUCCUAGGGGUACGGAACAACUCAGGGAAACCUGAGCUAAUACCGUAUACGUCCGUGAGGAGAAAGAUUUAUCGCCCUUAGACGGGCCCGCGUCGGAUUAGCUAGUUGGUGGGGUAACGGCCUACCAAGGCGACGAUCCGUAGCUGAUCUUAGAGGAUGAUCAGCCACACUGGGACUGAGACACGGCCCAGACUCCUACGGGAGGCAGCAGUGGGGAAUCUUGGACAAUGGGCGCAAGCCCGAUCCAGCCAUGCCGCGUGAGUGAAGAAGGUCUUCGGAUUGUAAAGCUCUUUUGCCAGGGACGAUAAUGACGGUACCUGGAGAAUAAGCCCCGGCAAACUUCGUGCCAGCCGCCGCAGUAA